Molecule: long non-coding RNA, 231 nt
Filed under: Zea mays
Lineage: Eukaryota; Viridiplantae; Streptophyta; Magnoliopsida; Poales; Poaceae
Description: long non-coding RNA NONZMAT000055
Source: RNAcentral
CAACAUAUUCACAAAGGAGACAAACCACAACAUCACCAUGCACCAGCCUCUGUUUCAUAGAACAGUCCGCCACAACACAACACAGAUUACUGACUCUUCAACACAGCAAGUAUAAAACCAAACUGAGAAAGUGAGAAGCAACAUAGCACAGCAUAGUUGCCACCAUAUCACAACAAUUUGAUUCUACAGCUGUUGGAGUUGACAAACAAAUGAAGACAAUUGAUGUUCAAC